Molecule: unclassified non-coding RNA, 347 nt
Filed under: soil metagenome
Description: partial contains 5.8S ribosomal RNA, internal transcribed spacer 2, and large subunit ribosomal RNA
Rfam family: 5.8S ribosomal RNA (bases 1-120)
Source: RNAcentral
GAUGAAGAACGCAGCGAAAUGCGAUAAGUAAUGCGAAUUGCAGAAUUCAGUGAGUCAUCGAAUCUUUGAACGCACAUUGCGCCCCCUGGUAUUCCGGGGGGCAUGCCUGUCCGAGCGUCAUUGCUGCCCUCAAGCACGGCUUGUGUGUUGGGCCCCGUCCUCCGAUCCCGGGGGACGGGCCCGAAAGGCAGCGGCGGCACCGCGUCCGGUCCUCGAGCGUAUGGGGCUUUGUCACCCGCUCUGUAGGCCCGGCCGGCGGUUGCCGAUCAACCCAAAUUUUUUAUCCAGGUUGACCUCGGAUCAGGUAGGGAUACCCGCUGAACUUAAGCAUAUCAAUAAGCGGAGGA